This 253-nucleotide ribosomal RNA is filed under the name uncultured bacterium. Its description in RNAcentral is "partial 16S ribosomal RNA". It matches the Rfam family "Bacterial small subunit ribosomal RNA", at positions 524 to 776 of the family's 1533-position model. The record is from RNAcentral.
UACGGAGGGUGCAAGCGUUGUCCGGAGUUACUGGGCGUAAAGGGCAUGCAGGCGGUCGGACGCGUUUCGGGUGACAGCGGGUGGCUUAACUACCCGAGUGGUCGAAAGACGGUUUGACUUGAGGACGCGAGAGGGACACGGAAUUCCGGGUGGAGUGGUGAAAUGCGUAGAGAUCCGGAGGAACACCGAAGGCGAAGGCAGUGUCCUGGCGCGUAACUGACGCUGAGGUGCGAAAGCCAGGGGAGCGAACGGG